GUAGUCCAUGCCGUAAACGUUGGGCACUAGGUGUGGGGCCAGUUCCACUGGUUCUGUGCCGUAGCUAACGCAUUAAGUGCCCCGCCUGGGGAGUACGGCCGCAAGGCUAAAACUCAAAGGAAUUGACGGGGGCCCGCACAAGCGGCGGAGCAUGCGGAUUAAUUCGAUGCAACGCGAAGAACCUUACCAAGGCUUGACAUGUACGAGAAAGCCCCAGAGAUGGGGUUCUCUUUGGACACUCGUACACAGGUGGUGCAUGGUUGUCGUCAGCUCGUGUCGUGAGAUGUUGGGUUAAGUCCCGCAACGAGCGCAACCCUUAUCCUAUGUUGCCAGCGGGUCAUGCCGGGGAC
RNAcentral lists this ribosomal RNA (350 nucleotides) under uncultured Promicromonospora sp. RNAcentral's name for it is "bacterial SSU rRNA". It matches the Rfam family "Bacterial small subunit ribosomal RNA", at positions 790 to 1138 of the family's 1533-position model. Lineage: Bacteria; Bacillati; Actinomycetota; Actinomycetes; Micrococcales; Promicromonosporaceae. The record is from RNAcentral.